CAGUAGCCGCGGUAAUACGUAGGUGGCAAGCGUUGUCCGGAAUUAUUGGGCGUAAAGCGCGCGCAGGCGGAUCAGUUAGUCUGUCUUAAAAGUUCGGGGCUUAACCCCGUGAUGGGAUGGAAACUGCUGAUCUAGAGUAUCGGAGAGGAAAGUGGAAUUCCUAGUGUAGCGGUGAAAUGCGUAGAUAUUGGGAGGAACACCGGCGGCGAAGGCGGCUUACUGGACGACAACUGACGUUGAGGCUCGAAGGCGUGGGUAGCAAACAGGAUUAGAUACCCCCGUAGUCCCUGUCUCUUAUACC
RNAcentral lists this ribosomal RNA (301 nucleotides) under uncultured bacterium. Its description in RNAcentral is "partial 16S ribosomal RNA". It matches the Rfam family "Bacterial small subunit ribosomal RNA", at positions 509 to 808 of the family's 1533-position model. The record is from RNAcentral.